GACGAACGCUGGCGGCGUGCCUAAUACAUGCAAGUAGAACGCUGAAGGAGGAGCUUGCUUCUCCGGAUGAGUUGCGAACGGGUGAGUAACGCGUAGGUAACCUGCCUGGUAGCGGGGGAUAACUAUUGGAAACGAUAGCUAAUACCGCAUAAGAGUAGAUGUCGCAUGACAUUUGCUUAAAAGGUGCAACUGCACCACUACCAGAUGGACCUGCGUUGUAUUAGCUAGUUGGUGAGGUAACGGCUCACCAAGGCAACGAUACAUAGCCGACCUGAGAGGGUGAUCGGCCACACUGGACUGAGACACGGCCCAGACUCCUACGGGAGGCAGCAGUAGGGAAUCUUCGGCAAUGGACGGAAGUCUGACCGAGCAACGCCGCGUGAGUGAAGAAGGUUUUCGGAUCGUAAAGCUCUGUUGUAAGAGAAGAACGAGUGUGAGAGUGGAAAGUUCACACUGUGACGGUAUCUUACCAGAAAGGGACGGCUAACUACGUG
RNAcentral lists this ribosomal RNA (494 nucleotides) under uncultured bacterium. RNAcentral describes it as "partial 16S ribosomal RNA". It matches the Rfam family "Bacterial small subunit ribosomal RNA", at positions 28 to 507 of the family's 1533-position model. The record is from RNAcentral.